UAUUUUUUUUUUAUUGUUCACGUGGAACCCAUCUGACUGUGUAUUCUCUCCACAGAGUUUGAAUGUUGCUUUCCCCUUUCUGGAUGAUUAUCUGUCCUCUAUUGUAAAGAGAUGAAGACAAGCAGCAUUCUGAGCAACAUUCAGAGGCGUUUCUGACUAAGCUUGGUUAGGAACUGCCAUGACCCAGUGCCUGUUGAAGUAACAGAAUUUCUACUUCAAUAAGGACCAAGUCAGGCUGCACGUGGUCAGAAGCCACUUCUUUUUCCAGAGACUAUAUUCUUCAUGGUGUCUGAUUAGUAAAUUAGGUCCUACUCUGUAGUUUCAUAAGCACUUCAUCCAGAGCUGGAGUCCAUCAGAUUCUAUUAAAUAUUGAUCCUUUAGACCUGAAGAUACUGUGGCUCGGAGAGGGAG
Molecule: long non-coding RNA, 411 nt
Filed under: Anser brachyrhynchus (Pink-footed goose)
Lineage: Eukaryota; Metazoa; Chordata; Aves; Anseriformes; Anatidae
Description: lncRNA (ENSABRG00000016694.1)
Source: RNAcentral